RNAcentral lists this unclassified non-coding RNA (146 nucleotides) under uncultured Cenococcum. RNAcentral describes it as "sequence contains ITS2". The record is from RNAcentral. Lineage: Eukaryota; Fungi; Ascomycota; Dothideomycetes; Gloniales; Gloniaceae.
CACCACUCAAGCCCGGCUUGGUGUUGGGCGACGUCCUCUUUGGGGACGCGCCUCGAAACGCUCGGCGGCGUGGGACCGGCUUUAAGCGUAGCAGAAUCUUUCGCUUCAAAAGUCGGGGCCCCGUCUGCCGGAAGACCUACUCGCAA